Molecule: long non-coding RNA, 259 nt
Filed under: Homo sapiens (human)
Lineage: Eukaryota; Metazoa; Chordata; Mammalia; Primates; Hominidae
Description: HSALNT0409597
Source: RNAcentral
GGACUUUGAAGGUUCUCCACCCGGUGCCCCACCCUCCCCACAGAGCUCUUCCUCAUUCUGUCUCUGUUCCCUGCUUUGGCCAGUGGCUAUCCUCAAUGUGACCCACACUACACUUCUGCCCACACUGCAGCUCUUUACCCAGUUACCCUCCAGUUCCUCACAACGUAUGCCUAUCUCAGUCAUGCCCCGGACUGCAUUGAAGCCAGACUGCCCUUUUCCCCAAGGCAGGGUCAUGAUUUGCCAAAGGUUUCGUGUGUGU